CACAAGCCAAUAUACAAACCAGUUUAUCAUUUUUAUCUCUGAAUAACUUAGGAUUAAAAGCGGUAACCUCAACAGGUCCUUCAUGUCCGAUAAGAUUAAUUUCACUGGUCCAUGUUCCACGCUCUAUUAUCGAAACACAAGACACUGGACCAUUCAUCGCAUUUGGAGCAGCAAUAUGUUUUCCAUCCGGUGACCAAGACGGCCUUCGAAAAUAGGUUGAUAAAGGUGAAUUGUUAAAGGGACCUGUAAUGGUCUUCUCAAUUGAAAAGUCACUUACUCUCCAGACCUUUAUAGUUCUAUCAUCGCUUUCAGUGGCAAAGUACUUACCCGCGGGGUCAAAAGUUAUACCUUUCACGUGACUUUGAUGAGCUUCAAUUCGCUUUAGUCGUUCAAAAGUAGUACCGUUCCAAACAAUAAUCGAACUAUCUAAUCCGACACUCACUACAAGUUGGCUAUCAUAACUCCAACAUAAAUCCUGGAUAUCUAAAAAAAUUAGAAACUUUAACAUAAAAUAUUCACUAACCAUUAUCGUGGCCCAGUAAACGUCGGUAACUACGCCAAUUCUCAGUGUGUUUUUCACCGGAUCCAAACGUAGAACCUAAACCAGGAAUUGCUCUGUGUUAAUAGUUAGAUUAAAAAACGAAUUAAUAACAUACUCCUCCUUGUGCCAUAUAAUAACUACUCGAUCAUCACUACCUGAAGCAAGGUAUUGACCAUUAGGGCUAAAACGUACUGAAGUAACUGUACCAGUAUGAGUACUCAUACAACACAGCUGUUUAGGAAGAUCUUCAUUUUCAUUUUCGUUCUCAUUUUCACGGUUGAUAGCUUCAGUAGACCAAAUUCGAAUUGUACCAUCUACGGGCAGUUAGCAAGUGGUCUUACAAAUUGAAUUGAAACAUCAUUAGACAUACCCAGUCCUCCAGUUGCUAUCCGUGAUCCAUCUGGAUGUAUGUGAAUAGAAAAUAUAGAUAGCCGAUGCCCUCGAUCGUCUAGCUGAAUUAGUUAACAAUUCAAAGUAUUUCAACAGUAGCAGAUUGUUAGGCGUACCAAAGUGUCCUAACCAUGGAAUUUUUUUAAUUUUCAUUUAUUAAUAAAU
Non-coding RNA from Schizosaccharomyces pombe (fission yeast), 1096 nucleotides. The record is from the annotation of a GenBank genome assembly. NCBI's taxonomy places the organism in Eukaryota, Fungi, Ascomycota, Schizosaccharomycetes, Schizosaccharomycetales, Schizosaccharomycetaceae.